RNAcentral lists this ribosomal RNA (484 nucleotides) under uncultured bacterium. Its description in RNAcentral is "partial 16S ribosomal RNA". It matches the Rfam family "Bacterial small subunit ribosomal RNA", at positions 30 to 507 of the family's 1533-position model. The record is from RNAcentral.
AUUGAACGCUGGCGGCAGGCCUAACACAUGCAAGUCGAGCGGAUGAAGGGAGCUUGCUCCUGGAUUCAGCGGCGGACGGGUGAGUAAUGCCUAGGAAUCUGCCUGGUAGUGGGGGAUAACGUCCGGAAACGGGCGCUAAUACCGCAUACGCCCUGAGGGAGAAAGUGGGGGAUCUUCGGACCUCACGCUAUCAGAUGAGCCUAGGUCGGAUUAGCUAGUUGGUGGGGUAAAGGCCUACCAAGGCGACGAUCCGUAACUGGUCUGAGAGGAUGAUCAGUCACACUGGAACUGAGACACGGUCCAGACUCCUACGGGAGGCAGCAGUGGGGAAUAUUGGACAAAGGGCGAAAGCCUGAUCUAGCCAUGCCGCGUGUGUGAAGAAGGUCUUCGGAUUGUAAAGCACUUUAAGUUGGGAGGAAGGGCAGUAAGUUAAUACCUUGCUGUUUUGACGUUACCAACAGAAUAAGCACCGGCUAACUUCGUG